AUAAGACAAGGUCAUUCUUCAAGAGUGUUGUCAGCCAACUUCUUGUUCGAGCGGAAGAAGCAGCUAUCGAGUCGUCUGCUAACAAAGAGUUUAACGAACAGGAUGCACUAAGUUCUGUGUUGCUCUUUGUGGGUGAAGUGUUAUCCCGUGUUAGCCGUCGUGGAUCUACUGGCAUUUUAGUUGCUGAAUUGAUCCCUAUGAUCCGUAAUCACUUACAAAGAUGUGUAGCACCAGACUGUAAGACGAUAAUUCCUGACAUGAUCAAGCAUGUUCCUCAGUCUCGGUUUUGGUUCACUGUGAUUGAAGCAUUGAGAGAUCAGCAUUCUAUUGAAAGAUUGACUGAAGAGAUGUUGCGCCAACUUGCAUCACACCAUUUAAAUGAUGAAGAAGCGUACUGGAUUUUGUGGACUCUGUUUAAUCAGAGUAUCAUGCAUAUUGCUGUUAUGAGGGCAAUGUUUAUUGACAAAUUUUUGCUUUGGAAAACAUUUCCAUUAUGCUGCCUGAGAUGGAUUCUUCAUUAUGCUGUCUUUGAAUUCCCACCAAAUUCAGUCGCAGAAGCCCAAAUGCGAAGGACAUCAAACUUCCUGGUUACAUUGCAAUGUUUAGUUACUGUUUGGUCCAAGAAAGAGUUUGUUCAGUCAUAUUCAGUGGAGCAACAAGCUUAUAUCACUGCAGCAAUAGGGUUAUGUUUGGAGAACAUGUCAAAAGAAGAAUUAGAAAUGAAUAGAGAUGUAUUAAAUUGUAUUCUUCAAGGAGUAAGCUGUAGGUUAGAGAGCCCAAUUGAUUUAGUCCGGAAAAUGGCAAGUGCUGUUGCAUUGACAUUUUCUAAAGUCGUUGAUCCAAAAAAUCCUCUUUACCUUGAUGAUGACUGUUCUGAGAAUGUUGACUGGGAGUUCGGGGUUCUCUCUCCAAAGGAGAUCACAGCUCCUUCACAUGAUGUAGAAUUUGGAAGCAAAUCAAAACCAUGUCCACGUAAGAACAGGAAACAUGCUGGUGACAAAAAGGGAAAGACUAUCAAGCAUGAUAUUUCAGAUAACAGAGUAAAAAUCAUAGAGAUCAAGUCAAAACUAGAUUCUGAUGAAAUGUCUGGCGCUGCUAUAAAUUUUGAGGAACAUUAUGACGAGGAAAGCAUUAACAUUGAUGCUUCCAGUGAUUCAUCCCUGGAGCCGUAUGAUCUGUCAGAUGAUGACACUGAUUUGCAGAAGAAUUUCACACAUCUAAGUGAUCUUGCAGCUGCACUGCGAAAACCUGACGAUCUAGAUGGUGUUGAAAGCGCUCUUAGUUCUGCCGAAAAGCUUGUGAGGGCAUCACCUGAUGAGCUGCGCCACUGCUCGGGUGAUCUUGUUCAAGCACUGGUACAUGUUCGUUGUUCUGAUGUCGCGAUGGAAGGCGAGGAAGAUUCUGCUGAAGAAAAGCGACAGAAGGCAUUAGUCGCUUUGCUGGUAACCAGCCCAUUUGAAUCAUUAGAUGUUCUUACCAAAUUGCUAUAUUCAUCGAGUGUGGAUAUAAGUCAGCGUAUUUUAGUUAUUGAUGUUAUGACUGAGGCAGCACAGGAACUUGCUGAAACUAAAAUUGUAAAGAGUGAACAGCGGCAUGGGAACUUGAUAUCUGAUACUUCUCCGUCUUGGCUGGUUCCUAGGGAGAGCGGACCUGUUGGGGCAAGCCCUUGGAGAGAGGUAUCAGAAACAGGAUCACUUUUGAAAAAUUGGUCACACCGGUAUGAAAGAGAAGUUCCAUCUAGACCAGGCCAGGUUAAAUCAGGAAAAUCUCGCAAAUGGGGUCUUGGGAAAGCAAAAGAUUCGCAGGUGGAGCGGUCAAAAAACAGAUUUCCUUUGUAUGCUGCUGCAUUUAUGCUCCCGGUUAUGGAAGGAUAUGACAAGAGAAGACAUGGGGUGGACUUGCUCAAUCGGGAUUUUGUUGUCCUAGGUAAAUUGAUAUACAUGCUUGGUGUCUGUAUGAAGUGCAUGGCAAUGCAUCCGGAAGCAUCAGCCAUUGCCCCAGCUUUUCUGGAUAUGAUAAGAGCCAGGGAGGUCUCGCAACAUGCUGAAGCAUAUGUGCGAAGGUCUGUGUUGUUUGCAGCUUCUUGUGUAUUGAUAGCCUUGCACCCGUCAUAUGUUGCAUCAGUUCUUAUAGAAGGCAACCAGGACAUUUCUACUGGUUUAGAAUGGAUACGUACAUGGGCCUUGCGUAUUGCUGAAGCUGAUCCUGAUACAGAGUGCACAUCGAUGGCCAUGGCCUGCGGCUCCAUUCAGAGAUGGUGCUCCAGACAUCCCGCGCCCUGGAAUCUGCAGAACAUUCCAAGGCUGGCACCAGAGCACUACCUUCUAAGCUCGAUAACAUUAUAA
Molecule: ribosomal RNA, 2345 nt
Filed under: Triticum aestivum (bread wheat)
Lineage: Eukaryota; Viridiplantae; Streptophyta; Magnoliopsida; Poales; Poaceae
Description: partial small subunit ribosomal RNA
Source: RNAcentral